CAGUGACAAAACAGAGUCUCCAUUCAGGACCCCCAUCAUACUGUCCUUGUAGACCCUCUCCCUGACCCGGUGCUGGACUUUCAGGAUCAGCUGGCUGUGUUUUGUGUUUGCAGGUCUGUGGUUCUGGGUCUUCCUGUGUUUCUCAGUCCGGACACAUGUUGCUCAUCAGCUCAGACUCUCAGUCUGUUUAUGUCCAAAGCACUGAUGCUAACUUCCCCCCAGACCCUCCUCCUCCUCCUCCUCCUCCUCCUCCUCCUCCUCCUCCUCCCCCCCUCAUGAUGAAGAGGAUGUUUAAAGCAGAGACACUCAGGCAUUCAGCCUGAAACCACCCACACUCCGCUUAGGUCGGACCUCCGACCUCCACCUUCAUCCUGAUGGUCUCCUAAAAGGUCGUAUCCUCCGAUCGUAGCUGAUCGUAACCAUUCAAGUUAACGUGUCAAUUUACACCGACUUCUUUCCGUUCCUCUGCGGAUCGCCGGACUCCUCAGCUGAUCACAAGAGUUCUAUUUUUUCUGGACGCCGGAGCAUGGCGGAUAAAUUCAGCACAGAUUAACCCGUGCUGGAAAGGAAGUCGGGCACAGACACAAAAUAAAACAUCCGGCUUCUUUUCAAAAUAAAACACUCCGUGUUUCAGGAGGAUCGUAUUUCACACCAUGCAAACGGGCGGAGACGAACAAGUGAAAGGUUUUUAGACGUCAUUUCACCCCGAUGACACCAUGGAUGAGGAGAUGCUGAUUCUAGAAGUCUAGAAGUAGAUUUCCUCCUCUGGAAGGACACAAUCUACUGCUUAUAUGUCUAUGUGUCUGUCUUUAGAGAGACGACUCUUCAUC
RNAcentral lists this long non-coding RNA (830 nucleotides) under Xyrichtys novacula (pearly razorfish). The record is from RNAcentral. Lineage: Eukaryota; Metazoa; Chordata; Actinopteri; Labriformes; Labridae.